This 852-nucleotide ribosomal RNA is filed under the name uncultured bacterium. RNAcentral's name for it is "bacterial SSU rRNA". It matches the Rfam family "Bacterial small subunit ribosomal RNA", at positions 38 to 873 of the family's 1533-position model. The record is from RNAcentral.
GACGCGUUGGCCCAAUUGAUUGAUGGUGCUUGCACCUGAUUGAUUUCCGUUGAAACGAGUGGCGGACGGGUGAGUAACACGUAGGUAACCCGCCCAGAAGCGGGGGACAACAUUUGGAAACAGAUGCUAAUACCGCAUAACAGCGUUGUUCGCAUGAACAACGCUUAAAAGAUGGCUUCUCGCUAUCACUUCUGGAUGGACCUGCGGUGCAUUAGCUUGUUGGUGGGGUAACGGCCUACCAAGGCGAUGAUGCAUAGCCGAGUUGAGAGACUGAUCGGCCACAAUGGGACUGAGACACGGCCCAUACUCCUACGGGAGGCAGCAGUAGGGAAUCUUCCACAAUGGGCGCAAGCCUGAUGGAGCAACACCGCGUGAGUGAAGAAGGGUUUCGGCUCGUAAAGCUCUGUUGUUAAAGAAGAACACGUAUGAGAGUAACUGUUCAUACGUUGACGGUAUUUAACCAGAAAGUCACGGCUAACUACGUGCCAGCAGCCGCGGUAAUACGUAGGUGGCAAGCGUUAUCCGGAUUUAUUGGACGUAAAGAGGGUGCAGGCGGUUUUCUAAGUCUGAUGUGAAAGCCUUCGGCUUAACCGGAGAAGUGCAUCGGAAACUGGAUAACUUGAGUGCAGAAGAGGGUAGUGGAACUCCAUGUGUAGCGGUGGAAUGCGUAGAUAUAUGGAAGAACACCAGUGGCGAAGGCGGCUACCGGGUCUGCAACUGACGCUGAGACUCGAAAGCAUGGGUAGCGAACAGGAUUAGAUACCCUGGUAGUCCAUGCCGUAAACGAUGAGUGCUAGGUGUUGGAGGGUUUCCGCCCUUCAGUGCCGGAGCUAACGCAUUAAGCACUCCGCC